Molecule: long non-coding RNA, 351 nt
Organism: Nannospalax galili (Upper Galilee mountains blind mole rat)
Lineage: Eukaryota; Metazoa; Chordata; Mammalia; Rodentia; Spalacidae
Exons: 3
Source: RefSeq, a predicted model, not a curated record
AAGUCUACAGUAUAGCUGCGCAAGACUUGAUGACUUUUCUACUCCAGCAGCCUGCAUAACACCUUCUAGUACUAUGAAAGUCGGCCAAAAGGGAGGAAGAUUCCUGGGCUCUCUAGGACAGCCUUGACCAAUAACUUGCUUGAAGGAAGGUAUCCCACAUCUGGCACUGGGCUUUUAUUUGGCAACCUAUGAAUUCUUGGAGGAGCAUUAUUCCCUGUGUAAGGCGGGCUUUGAGACGGAUCACCCCACUUCUGGUGCCCUCUCUGCUUCCUGCCUGUGGAUGAAGAUGUGUCCUCCAGCAUCCUGGUGCCACCUGCUACCAGGCCUUGCCUGCCAUUACAGACUCCCUUC